This 235-nucleotide ribosomal RNA is filed under the name uncultured bacterium. RNAcentral's name for it is "partial 16S ribosomal RNA". It matches the Rfam family "Bacterial small subunit ribosomal RNA", at positions 1258 to 1500 of the family's 1533-position model. The record is from RNAcentral.
CAAUGGGAUGCGAAUCUCGAAAGCCUGUCUCAGUUCGGAUUGGAGGCUGAAACCCGCCUCCAUGAAGUUGGAUUCGCUAGUAAUCGCGCAUCAGCCAUGGCGCGGUGAAUACGUUCCCGGGCCUUGUACACACCGCCCGUCAAGCCAUGGGAGCCGGGGGGUGCCUGAAGUUCGUGACCGCAAGGAGCGACCUAGGGCAAAACUGGUGACUGGGGCUAAGUCGUAACAAGGUAGC